UCAAAAGCAGCUGCAGGACCAGAGAGUCCCACGGCGGGAGGGGGGGGCGGGGUGUACAAAGUUGUCUCACUGGAGUCUUCUGACACCUUGCAGGCAGCUCCACUUGAGAGUGUCUUCUCUCCAGCAACGACCUACUGCUCGUGUAACUUAAAAUGGCUCAGACAUCUUUAAGUGACUCACCCAAGGUCAUCCCACGGACAGACGUCAGAGCUGGGAUUCAAGCCCACACAGGCAUCCCUCCAGGAGGCUUCCUACCCUGUACUUCCCUCCUCAGUGUCUAGGCUGGGGCAUCACUGCAAAAGCCUGGGCCCCUCCCAUGGCUCUCACCCAUGGGAACAACUGGUAACAAUUUGUGAAGGUGAAGGCAGUUCGGCACACACGUGUUUAUCUGCCCUCUCCUCUGUACCCCUAAUAGCCUGGAGAGUCAUUAUAAAGUCUAGAGGACAAAAGAGUUAGGAACCUAUGAAGAGCAUUGGGUGGUCAGAGUCCAAGUGCCUUGAUGUCCCCGUGGUCCAGAUGUCAGCAUCCGCCACCGCCACCAUGCUUCACACUAUCCUGAUGCUCCUGCCGUCCUCACAAACUGGGGACCAAGUUCUAGUGUAACUCCUGACUGUCGUCCCCACCAUUGCGUCUGGCAGACAUGAGGAUGCCGUUUUGCCUGGGCUGUUUAGACCUGGGGCAAUCUCCUGCCUCAAGACACCAGACCCAGUCUGUUCCUCCCCUGCUCACAAUUCUCCCAUGGCUCCCAGCACACUCCAGGGAAGAAAACAGAACUCAGUGAGUGUGGAGAUCCAGUUCUGAACUCUCCAAUCUCAUAGGUCUUGAUGCUGGAUUUAGGUACCACGUGUGACAUUCCACACCCACAUCCCCCUCUUCCCAAUCCCCAGUGUGAAUGUCUCUUCUACCCAAAAUGCCCUUUCCUGGUCACCAUGGUCACCAUUCUGGUCUCCCCGACAACCCCCUCCCAUUCUUGAGGCAUCUUCCUGGCUGACUCAGAGGCCUGGGGGAGGGAGGUCAAGCCGCUGUGUGGCUAGGACCCAUGGCCAUGAACUUGCAGGAAAAUGUGACCUUGGCCAUGGCCGUGUUCACCAUCCUAGCCUCCAUCUACUUCUUCAACAAGGCUCAGCAAUGAGAAGGCAUGGCUCCCCAGUCCUCCAGCCUGGCCUCUGCCUGUUCUACCAUCGCUCUGGCCUCUAAGAUCUAAUAAAUGUAACAGCAUCAGA
Molecule: long non-coding RNA, 1223 nt
Organism: Peromyscus maniculatus bairdii (prairie deer mouse)
Lineage: Eukaryota; Metazoa; Chordata; Mammalia; Rodentia; Cricetidae
Source: RefSeq, a predicted model, not a curated record